Molecule: ribosomal RNA, 497 nt
Filed under: uncultured bacterium
Lineage: Bacteria
Description: partial 16S ribosomal RNA
Rfam family: Bacterial small subunit ribosomal RNA
Source: RNAcentral
GACGAACGCUGGCGGCGUGCCUAAUACAUGCAAGUAGAACGCUGAAGCGAGGAGCUUGCUCUUCUUGGAUGAGUUGCGAACGGGUGAGUAACGCGUAGGUAACCUGCCUGGUAGCGGGGGAUAACUAUGGGAAACGAUAGCUAAUACCGCAUAAAAUUGAUUAUUGCAUGAUAGUUAAUUGAAAGUUGCAACUGCAUCACUACCAGAUGGACUUGCGUUGUAUUAGCUAGUUGGUGAGGUAACGGCUCACCAAGGCGACGAUACAGAGCCGACCUGAGAGGGUGAGCGGCCACACUGGGACUGAGACACGGCCCAGACUCCUACGGGAGGCAGCAGUAGGGAAUCUUCGGCAAUGGGGGGAACACUGACCGAGCAACGCCGCGUGCGUAAAGAAGGUUUUCGGAUCGUAAAGCUCGGUUGUAAGAGAAGAACGGGUGUGAGAGUGGAAAGUUCACACUGUGACGGUAUCUUACCAGAAAGGGACGGCUAACUACGUG